AAGUCGUAACAAGGUCUCCGUUGGUGAACCAGCGGAGGGAUCAUUACCGAGUUUACAACUCCCAAACCCCUGUGAACAUACCAAUCGUUGCUUCGGCGGGUCUCGCCCCGGCGCUCUCGGGCCCGGACUCAGGCGCCCGCCGGAGGACCCAAACUCUUGUCUUUAUGAGUAUCUUCUGAGUGACACAAGUAAAUGAAUCAAAACUUUCAACAACGGAUCUCUUGGUUCUG
RNAcentral lists this unclassified non-coding RNA (230 nucleotides) under air metagenome. RNAcentral's name for it is "partial contains small subunit ribosomal RNA, internal transcribed spacer 1, and 5.8S ribosomal RNA". The stretch from base 1 to 46 matches the Rfam family "Eukaryotic small subunit ribosomal RNA", at positions 1786 to 1831 of the family's 1831-position model. The record is from RNAcentral.